UAAGUGCUCUCUGUUAGGGUGA
This 22-nucleotide microRNA is filed under the name Sarcophilus harrisii (Tasmanian devil). RNAcentral describes it as "Sha-Mir-430-o14_3p (mature (guide))". The record is from RNAcentral. Lineage: Eukaryota; Metazoa; Chordata; Mammalia; Dasyuromorphia; Dasyuridae.